GGUUUACUCACACUCAAAAGGCAAGGAACACUUGAUGUCGUAGUUCCCAAGGCUCAAGUAGAAAAUCUCCCAAAGCUUCCAUUAUUAGAGUAUUGCUCAAAACAAUUUACAUUUUCUCAUUAUAGAACUACUCAGAAUCCAAGCUCCUAAAAUAGUUUUGCAACACUUAUAAAAGCAACUUCAUUUCCACCAACAAAGAUUUCUGUCGAAUCAGAACUCAAGAAAAACUAACACAACCUAUAAAUAAAACAAUCAAGGCUUCCAUGCCUUAAUCAAGGACCAUUAGGAGACUAUAGGAGAACAAUAGCAUAAGCACAGACCAGAACGACCCAAACAUUAUGUUAAAUGCUAGCCAUUGUCACCAGCUUGCCAUAAAGAAUGUGAUCGUCCCUCCCAGUGUUGCUCUCU
Molecule: unclassified non-coding RNA, 408 nt
Filed under: Hevea brasiliensis (rubber tree)
Lineage: Eukaryota; Viridiplantae; Streptophyta; Magnoliopsida; Malpighiales; Euphorbiaceae
Source: RNAcentral